CGCAUCUGUGCAUGCAGCAUAUCAAUAAGCGGAGGAAAAGAAACUAACAAGGAUUCCCCUAGUAACGGCGAGUGAGGCGGGAAGAGCUCAAAUUUGAAAUCUUAAAGGGUUUCCCUUUACGAAUUGUAGUUUAAAGAAGUGUUUUCUGUUGAGGUUUUGGUAAAAGUUCUUUGGAAUAGGACAUCAUAGAGGGUGAGAAUCCCGUAUUUGACCUUUACUUUCAACUUUGUGAUACACUUUCAAAGAGUCGGAUUGUUUGGGAAUGCAGUCCAAAAUGGGUGGUAAAUUUCAUCUAAAGCUAAAUAUUGGCGAGAGACCGAUAGCGAACAAGUACCGUGAGGGAAAGAUGAAAAGAACUUUGAAAAGAGAGUUAAACAGUACGUGAGAUUGUCAAAAGGGAAGCGUUUGACACCAGUGUUGUUUUUCUGAAAAUCAAUUAAAGAACUGUUUAUGCUAAGCUGUUUAGACUUUAUCAGCUAAUCUGUUUAGUUUUGAGCUUUUCUUUAAUGCACUUUUCAGUUAACAAGUCAACAUCAAUUUCUUUUGCUGUAAAAAAGCUUGAGGAAGGUGGCUUGAGAUUCGUCUUAAGUGUUUAUAGCCUCUUGCCUAUGCAGUCGGAGAGAUUGAGGUCUGCAGCGUAGAUCCUUCGGGGCUAAAUGCAUUUGUGCUAAGUUAUAGCAUUUUAUAGACAACUUGUUGACUAUGAUUUGUCUUGUAGCUUACUCGCUUAUGUUAUUUUACCUACGCUUAGGAUGUUGAAUCUGUGCGAGACUAC
This 775-nucleotide ribosomal RNA is filed under the name uncultured Neocallimastigales. RNAcentral's name for it is "partial large subunit ribosomal RNA". It matches the Rfam family "Eukaryotic large subunit ribosomal RNA", at positions 26 to 644 of the family's 3401-position model. The record is from RNAcentral. Lineage: Eukaryota; Fungi; Neocallimastigomycota; Neocallimastigomycetes; Neocallimastigales.